RNAcentral lists this ribosomal RNA (396 nucleotides) under uncultured bacterium. Its description in RNAcentral is "partial 16S ribosomal RNA". It matches the Rfam family "Bacterial small subunit ribosomal RNA", at positions 360 to 773 of the family's 1533-position model. The record is from RNAcentral.
AAUUUUCGGCAAUGUGCGCAAGCCUGACCGGGCAACGCCGCGUGAUGGAAGAAGGCCUUCGGGUCGUAAUCUUUUGUCUUAGGGGACGAUAAUGAUGGUAUCCAAGGAGGAAGUCCCGGCUAACUACGUAUCAGCAGCCGCGGUAAUACGUAGGGGGCGAGCGUUGUUCGGAAUUACUUGGCGUAAAGCGCGCGUAGGCGGCCUGAUAAGUCAGAUGUGAAAUCCCAAGGCUUAACCGUGGGUUUGCAUUUGAAACUGUUAGGCUUGAGGGCAGGAGAGGAAAGCGGAAUUCCCAGUGUAGCGAUGAAAUGCGUAGAUAUUGAGAGGAACACCAGUGGCGAAAGCGGCUUUCUGGACUACACCUGACGCUGAAGCGCGAAAGCUAGGGGAGCGAAC